GGUCAUGUGACUGUCAGGAGAGGAAACCAGAUGUCAGAGACAGGCAGCGUCACUCGGCGUGGGAGUAAUGAGAAGGCAGCAAGACGUGAAAAGGGAGACGGGAAGAGAAGGAGGCGUUACUAAGUUUAUAUAGGAUUUGUUACACCAAAGACAGUAAGGCCAAGGGUGUCGAUAAAGACAUUUGACAGGAGAGAGGAGGGCAUAGAGCUGUGUUAAACAGUGGCACUAAACAGUACAGUUCUAUAUACUGUGGAAAGAGGAGACAGGUGAAACUGUAGCAGUUUUGGGGUUGAGAGAUAAGGGUAUUUGGGGGGAACAGUGGAACCGGUGGAACAGUAGCAGUGUCAUACAGCCGUAUCCUUUAGGAGCUGUAUCGUCUUGCAUAGCUUGAGGACUACAGAACCAGCAGAGCGAUGAGUAACAUUUUUAUGAUAGAAUUUAUCUCUCUUCUGGCUGUCUCUGCAACCUGGAGCCAGGAUACAGUUACCCGGAGUGUAGUGGCCAGAGAAGGACAGGACCUCAACUUAAUGUGCAGCAACAAAACUUGGAAUGAGAUGAUCUACACCAUUUGGAAAAUAAACAUUGAUGGAUCCGAGUGUCAAGUAUCAUUUGAUAAUCAAAAGGAACUUAACACAUGCAACGAUGGAAAGCAAAUGCACAACUCAACCAGAGGUGAAUCCUACCUGCUUAUUCCUCAGUUCUCAGUCAGGGACCAGGGUGUCUACCACUGUGAGUCAGUCUACAAAGGUGGGAUCAACUCUCAAGACAUUACCGUAACAAUUAUAGCCCCUCCCGAGGUUAAAUUCCAGCUGGAAAUGAUCGAAGGGAGAAGAGUGGCUGUGUGUUUGGUUAAAGGCAAACCAGCUGCCUCCAUUUCAUGGAGAAACACGUGGAACUCUUCAAUCACCCCGCAGAACACCAAUGACUCAAACCAAGUGACCAGUUCUCUACCCUUGCCAGAAGGCGUCAAUACCGAAAACCUGACCUGUGCAGUCACACAUCCAUUCUGGAACCAGGAGAAAAUGUAUCUACCGACAAACGAGACAGUUGAAGCCACCCAAGACACCCGGCCUUGGCUUCUAGUCAGCAUCUCUGUGGUAACUAUAACGAUCAGCGUCAUCAUGGUAACCCUGGGCGGUUUAUACUUUACACGAAAACACCUCUGCAGAAUAAGAGCCGCCACGCCGUCGGUGUCCAAGGCUCCGCAGCCACAGGACUGUGUGGAGGAAGUGGAGCCCUACGCCAGCUAUGUUCAGCGAGUCAAUUCCAUCUACAACUCCUCUGCAGAGCUUUUCACAUAGCACACGCUCACGCACUCACAUGCACAUCUCACCGUGACGCUGUGAGAAAAUGCCAGUAGAUGAAAGUUAGAAAAGCCACCAUGAGACAGUAAAUGAAACAGAGAGAGAGAGAGAGAGAGAGAGAGAGAGAGAGAGAGAGCGAGAGAGAUCAGGGCCAUCACACAUUAAAUACAACCACCUGGGUUUGAUCAGUCCCGACUGCGGAGGCUGAUGGAACAUGGACAUAACCGACGCAGUCACACCCCCAUCGGCCUUGUUGGCUGAAACCAGCUGAACCCAGGAAAAAUACCCCCUUUAGACAGUUGACAAAAACUUGGCUACAAUACAAAGUGUAAAGACGUUGUUUCUAGAAGGCUGUAGCACAGGAGAACGGACGUCGUCCAGGAACGCAGGCAGUCCGCUCAAGCAAGCCGGUUCUCUCCCCAGUCAGAGGCAACGCGCCCAGUCAGAGGCAACGCGCCCAGUCAGAGGCAACGCGCCCAGUCAGAGGCAACGCGCCCAGUCAGAGGCAACGCGCCCAGUCAGACUCGGUUCUCACGAUAAAAUGGGUACCUGAGUGGGAACCGUUGAGGAUCCGUUUUAUGCACUAGGUCAGCUCCUGGAUAAAAUGUCAAGUCAAACAGCAGUAGUUUCCAUCUCUUCAGUCACUGAAAGAAAUGAUGCCCUCAAAUCUCCCUACACCUCCAGUAAACACAGCCUAAAUCCUCCUGAUGGUCCUGUCAGACCACUAAACGGCUUUUGUUGUGUUAAGCUGGGGUCCCCGUAGAUGCUCUGCCUGAACCACAGGCCUGUGUUUCCAUGAUGGCUUGGACAACUUGUCUCACUACUAUAGCGACACCUAUAAAAUAAUGGCUCACUAGAGCUAAAGCAUGAGAAAAUGACAGAAAACACAGAAAUGUCUAGAAACAAAGAAACACAAGAGCUGGUCUGAGAUGUUGGCAGUUAUUGAUUUUUUGUUGGAAAUUGCUUGAAACUGUGAUUGUUCCGUCACAACUGUAAACCAAAUAGCACAAUGUUCUCACGUGCCUGUGUUUCUUCUGCAAAAAUUACAUUUCAUCAAUAUCUCUGUUGUGUAUGAUAGCUAUGUACUGUAUAAUAGCCAUGAUUAGUGUUGACUUUUUAUUUAUGAUUCAAUUUAAAUUUCAUGGUUGUGUUAUUACUUGAAAUGUUAAACUUUGUGUUCGACAGUUUCAGAUGGGAAAAAGGCUGCAUGCCCUUUGCUUUGAAGAAGAAUUCUCCAGAAGUGAAGCUUAGUAUAUCUGUUUGUAUUGAUAUAAGUCAUACCAUGUGACACUGUCAUGUUAAACUGCAGGGGACCCCUCUGCUGGAGAAGGGUGGUACUCAGUGAAUGGGAACAUUUAUUUCCUUUCUAUGAAAAUGUUUUCUAGGUUUUUGCUUACAAAAAUUAAAGGGAACGGAGGAAUUUAAAAAUGAAUACUGUGAAAACCUUUGAUGGAUUUCUCACUUUCAAAAACGUAGACAUUUCAGAGAGAUCACAGAGUUUGUGUAGGAGACCAGCAGAGGAAGCACUGCUUGAAUAGACACAACGUGAUCUAUAGUGACAAAGCAAAUGAAACAUUUUAGUGUAUGCCAAACAUUUCCAAUCCACACCUACACAUUCCUGCAGGUUACCCACUUGUACGUAUGAGAAACAGGACAGGCACAGUAAUAGGAACACCUACUUGACAAAUGACUUCAGUCUGAGUCACUGUGAGAAACAAAAUUAUACAUGGCAAAGCAAUAAAAGACUGUGAAUCAAAGAGCUUGAUUACACUGAGGAAUUAGUAACUAGUAAUAAGCUGUUACUAAAUUUCACAAAAUGGAAAGGGCAUAUUUGGGGCAAAUCUCCAUCCCCUGUCUAGCAUUGCAUCAUAACAGAGAACACAAGCCACCAGAGGUCUCUUCUAGACAAUACUAGCAAUGACGGCAAAAAAACAGAGCAACAUCUGCUAGCAUAUGGAGGACCAAAAUGAAAUAAUAUAAAAAAUAUUUAAAUGCAUAAUUAUUUUAAGUGGUACAUUGAUAGGAAAUCUUUUUAUAAGGCCCCUUUUUAAAAUAGUGGUAUGAUAUUUCAUAGUAAUACAUUGUCUUUCCUAAUCUUUUUAUUUUCAUCGCAACAGGUAUUUCAUAAAAUCUUUGCCUUUUUCAAAAAAUCGUGAUCUAUUUCAUAAAUUCAUGGUGUGUCUCAUCAUUUAAUGAUGUUUUUUCAUAACUGAAUUACAUAUUCCAACAUUCAAUUACAUAUUUCAACAUUUAAUGGCACAUUUCAACAUUUCAAUGUAUUUCAAAGUGUAUUUAAUGAUCACAAGGGAUAUGUCAAUCAAUGCACGUGGGUGGACUUUAGCUACGGAUAGGCUAAUCCAGCAACACCAGCUUCACCAACAGUUGCUCGUUUGUGGCCUUCAAACAGGAUUUUGCAGCAUUAGCGGUUGUACUGAGUUAUAGCAAUUCAUCAAGUUUGUAUGAAGAAAGUACUAGCAAAAUCCCUAUUAUUAAGUACAUAUGACAGUAUGUGGCAAUAGAAAUGCUAAAACAAACGAAAAUGCAGGUUGUCACUGCCAGUGUCUUUAGGGCUAUUGAGCCCUGGGUCUUUUUGGUGUAGCCCCAUUACGAGAAGCCUAAAGCAAACAAUACAUGCAUCGCCACUUGAAUAGAACAACACGGCGCGUUUUCGCUCCACGUAACGAGUCAAUCUGCAAACCCCGCUAACAGAGCUGGCAUCUAGCGACAAGAUAUCCAACAAGAUGAACCCCUAGG
Esox lucius (northern pike) is the source of this 4058-nucleotide long non-coding RNA. The record is from Ensembl. NCBI's taxonomy places the organism in Eukaryota, Metazoa, Chordata, Actinopteri, Esociformes, Esocidae.